UACGGGGGGGGCAAGCGUUGUUCGGAAUUACUGGGCGUAAAGGGCUCGUAGGCGGCCAACUCAGUCAGACGUGAAAUCCCUCGGCUUAACCGGGGAACUGCGUCUGAUACUGGAUGGCUUGAGUGUGGGAGAGGAAUGCGGAAUUCCAGGUGUAGCGGUGAAAUGCGUAGAUAUCUGGAGGAACACCGGUGGCGAAGGCGGUUCUCUGGGCCUGUUCUGACGCUGAGGAGCGAAAGCGUGGGGAGCGAACAGG
This 253-nucleotide ribosomal RNA is filed under the name uncultured bacterium. RNAcentral describes it as "partial 16S ribosomal RNA". It matches the Rfam family "Bacterial small subunit ribosomal RNA", at positions 524 to 776 of the family's 1533-position model. The record is from RNAcentral.